CCCUUAGAUGUCCGGGGCCGCACGCGCGCUACACUGAAGGAAUCAGCGUGGCUUUCUCCCUGACCCGAAAGGGUUGGGAAACCCGGUGAAUCUCCUUCGUGAUAGGGAUUGGGGCUUGAAAUUGUUCCCCAUGAACGAGGAAUUCCCAGUAAGCGCGAGUCAUAAGCUCGCGUUGAUUACGUCCCUGCCCUUUGUACACACCGCCCGUCGCUACUACCGAUUGAACGGUUUAGUGAGGGCCUCGGAUUGGUCUCGGCCCGCUCUUUACCGGGCGGCGCCGUUGGUCGAGAAGACGCUCGAACUUGAUCGUUUAGAGGAAGUAAAAGUCGUAACA
RNAcentral lists this ribosomal RNA (334 nucleotides) under uncultured eukaryote. RNAcentral's name for it is "partial 18S ribosomal RNA". It matches the Rfam family "Eukaryotic small subunit ribosomal RNA", at positions 1470 to 1796 of the family's 1831-position model. The record is from RNAcentral.